Molecule: ribosomal RNA, 2339 nt
Filed under: Pedobacter miscanthi
Lineage: Bacteria; Pseudomonadati; Bacteroidota; Sphingobacteriia; Sphingobacteriales; Sphingobacteriaceae
Description: bacterial LSU rRNA
Rfam family: Bacterial large subunit ribosomal RNA
Source: RNAcentral
UAGAAGAAAGUAAUAAAGAGUACACGGGGGAUGCCUUGGCUCUCAGAGGCGAUGAAGGACGUGAUAAGCUGCGAUAAGCUUCGGGUAUUUGCAAAUAGGAAUUGAUCCGAAGAUUUCCGAAUGGGGCAACCCGGCAUGUUGAAGACAUGUCACAUAUAAUGAGCAAACCUGCCGAACUGAAACAUCUAAGUAAGCAGAGGAAGAGAAAAUAACAAUGAUUUCCUGAGUAGUGGCGAGCGAAAGGGAAAGAGCCCAAACCUACUUUGUUACGGCAAAGUGGGGGUUGUAGGACUGCAAUAUGGCAUUAGCAAACAGAAGUGGAACGGGAUGGGAAUCCCGGCGAUACAAGGUGAUAGCCCUGUACACGUAUAGAAUGCUAGCUUAGCAGUAUCCUGAGUACCGCGAGGUCGGAGACGCCUUGUGGGAAUCUGCCGGCACCAUCCGGUAAGGCUAAAUACUCCUGAGAGACCGAUAGUGAACCAGUACCGUGAGGGAAAGGUGAAAAGAACCCCGAACAGGGGAGUGAAAUAGAACCUGAAACCGUGUACUUACAAGCGGUCGGAGCAUCCAAGUGGUGUGACGGCGUGCCUUUUGCAUAAUGAGCCUACGAGUUACUCCUCUCUGGCAAGGUUAAGUGCUUCAGGCACGGAUCCGAAGCGAAAGCGAGUCUGAAUAGGGCGUAUAGUCAGAGGGGGUAGACGCGAAACCUUGUGAUCUACCCAUGGACAGGUUGAAGGUGCGGUAACACGUACUGGAGGACCGAACCGAUAAACGUUGAAAAGUUUCCGGAUGAUCUGUGGGUAGGGGUGAAAGGCUAAUCAAACUGGGAAAUAGCUCGUACUCCCCGAAAUGUUUUUAGGAACAGCGUGGAUAUUAAGUUUCAUAGAGGUAGAGCUACUGAUUGGGUGCGGGGGAGUCAAAUCCUACCAAAUCCAGACAAACUCCGAAUGCUAUGAAAUAUGAUCUGCAGUGAGGCGCGGGGUGCUAAGGUCACGCGCCGAGAGGGAAAGAACCCAGACCAUCAGCUAAGGUCCCCAAGUUACAGUUAAGUUGAACUAACGAGGUCCGAUUGCACAGACAGCUAGGAUGUUGGCUUGGAAGCAGCCAUUCAUUUAAAGAGUGCGUAACAGCUCACUAGUCGAGCGAUCGGGCAUGGAUAAUAAACGGGCAUUAAACUGUACACCGAAGCUAUGGGAUUGAAAUAUAUCGGUAGGGGAGCAUUCUAUGUGCAGCGAAGGUAUCUGGUAAUGGGUGCUGGAGCGCAUAGAAAAGCAAAUGUAGGCAUAAGUAACGAUAAGGCGGGCGAGAAACCCGCCCACCGAAAGGAUAAGGUUUCCUGAUCAACGCUAAUCGGAUCAGGGUUAGUCGGGACCUAAGGAGAACCCGAAGGGGAAAUUCGAUGGACAACGGAUUAAUAUUUCCGUACUUUUUAUAACUGCGAUGUGGGGACGGAGUAGUGACACUGCCGCGAUCUGACGGAAUAGAUCGUUAAAGGCUGUAGGUAUUGGACCGGUAGGCAAAUCCGCCGGACCAGCUGAACGCUGAUAGUACGACAAGGCUUCGGCUGAGUUGAUAGUGCAGGUAAUCAGACUUCCAAGAAAAACCGCUAAGCUUCAGGUUAUAAAAACCCGUACCGCAAACCGACACAGGUAUCCGGGAAGAGGAUUCUAAGGUGCUCGAGUGAAUCAUGGCUAAGGAACUCGGCAAAAUGGCCCUGUAACUUCGGGAGAAGGGGCGCUGGCAGCAAUGUCAGCCGCAGUGAAAAGGCCCAGGCGACUGUUUAACAAAAACACAUGGCUUUGCAAAAUCGAAAGAUGAAGUAUAAGGCCUGACACCUGCCCGGUGCUGGAAGGUUAAGAGGGGAUGUCAUCGUAAGAGAAGCAUUGAAUCGAAGCCCCAGUAAACGGCGGCCGUAACUAUAACGGUCCUAAGGUAGCGAAAUUCCUUGUCGGGUAAGUUCCGACCCGCACGAAAGGCGUAACGAUCUGGGCACUGUCUCAACGAGAGACUCGGUGAAAUUAUAAUACCCGUGAAGAUGCGGGUUACCCGCGACAGGACGGAAAGACCCCAUGGAGCUUUACUGUAGCUUGAUAUUGGGUGUUUGUACAACUUGUACAGGAUAGGUAGGAGCCGUAGAAGUCGGAACGCUAGUUUCGAUGGAGGCAUUGGUGGGAUACUACCCUCGUUGUAUGAACACUCUAACCCUCGCCGGCAAUCACGGCGGGAGACAGUGUCAGGUGGGCAGUUUGACUGGGGCGGUCGCCUCCUAAAAGGUAACGGAGGCGCCCAAAGGUUCCUUCAGAAUGGUUGGAAAUCAUUCGCAGAGUGUAAAGGCAUAA